GACGAACGCUGGCGGCGUGCUUAACACAUGCAAGUCGAACGAAGAGCGAUGAAGCUUGCUUCUAUCAAUCUUAGUGGCGAACGGGUUAGUAACGCGUAAUCAACCUGCCCUUCAGAGGGGGACAACAGUUGGAAACGACUGCUAAUACCGCAUACGAUCUGACCUCGGCAUCGAGGAUAGAUGAAAGGUGGCCUCUACAUGUAAGCUAUCACUGAAUGAGGGGGUUGCGUCUGAUUAGCUAGUUGGAGGGGUAACGGCCCACCAAGGCGAUGAUCAGUAGCCGGUCUGAGAGGAUGAACGGCCACAUUGGGACUGAGACACGGCCCAGACUCCUACGGGAGGCAGCAGUGGGGAAUCUUCCGCAAUGGACGAAAGUCUGACGGAGCAACGCCGCGUGAGUGAUGACGGCCUUCGGGUUGUAAAGCUCUGUUAAUCGGGACGAAAGGCCUUUUUGCGAAUAGUGAGAAGGAUUGACGGUACCGGAAGAGAAAGCCACGGCUAACUACGUG
Molecule: ribosomal RNA, 509 nt
Filed under: uncultured bacterium
Lineage: Bacteria
Description: partial 16S ribosomal RNA
Rfam family: Bacterial small subunit ribosomal RNA
Source: RNAcentral